UUAAACCUCUUCCAGAGUAUCAAUUGGAGGGCAAGUCUGGUGCCAGCAGCCGCGGUAAUUCCAGCUCCAAUAGCGUAUAUUAAAAUUGUUGCAGUUAAAAAGCUCGUAGUUGAAUUUCUGCCGCCCCGCCUCUGCCCCUCGACGGGCGUUUGCGCCGCGGCUUUUUCGGAUUAUGCUUGCAUUUUCCGAGUGUUACUUUGAGAAAAUUAGAGUGCUCAAAGCAGGCUUUUGCCUUGAAUAGUUUAGCAUGGAAUAAUAGAGUAGGACUUUGGUUCUAUUUUGUUGGUUUUAGGUACCAAAGUAAUGGUUAAUAGGAACAGUUGGGGGCAUCCGUAUUUAACUGUCAGAGGUGAAAUUCUUAGAUUUGUUAAAGACGAACUACUGCGAAAGCAUUUGCCAAGGAUGUUUUCAUUAAUCAAGAACGAAAGUUAGGGGAUCGAAGACGAUCAGAUACCGUCGUAGUCCUAACCAUAAACCAUGCCGACUAGAGAUUGGAGGUCGUCAGUUUUUACGACUCCUUCAGCACCUUGAGAGGAAUCAAAGUCUUUGGGUUCUGGGGGGAGUAUGGUCGCAAGGCUGA
This 580-nucleotide ribosomal RNA is filed under the name Theileria sp. RNAcentral's name for it is "SSU rRNA". It matches the Rfam family "Eukaryotic small subunit ribosomal RNA", at positions 525 to 1140 of the family's 1831-position model. The record is from RNAcentral. Lineage: Eukaryota; Apicomplexa; Aconoidasida; Piroplasmida; Theileriidae.